Molecule: ribosomal RNA, 274 nt
Filed under: uncultured bacterium
Lineage: Bacteria
Description: partial 16S ribosomal RNA
Rfam family: Bacterial small subunit ribosomal RNA
Source: RNAcentral
AUACGGAGGGUGCAAGCGUUAAUCGGAAUUACUGGGCGUAAAGCGCGCGUAGGCGGCUGAUUAAGUCGGAUGUGAAAUCCCUGGGCUCAACCUAGGAACUGCAUCCGAUACUGGUCAGCUAGAGUUUUGGAGAGGUAAGUGGAAUUUCCGGUGUAGCGGUGAAAUGCAUAGAGAUCGGAAGGAACACCAGUGGCGAAGGCGACUUACUGGCCAAAAACUGACGCUGCGGUGCGAAAGCGUGGGUAGCGAACAGGAUUAGAAACCCUAGUAGUCC